RNAcentral lists this ribosomal RNA (159 nucleotides) under Grosmannia pruni. RNAcentral's name for it is "Leptographium pruni 5.8S rRNA". It matches the Rfam family "5.8S ribosomal RNA". From Rfam's summary of the family: 5.8S ribosomal RNA (5.8S rRNA) is a component of the large subunit of the eukaryotic ribosome. It is transcribed by RNA polymerase I as part of the 45S precursor that also contains 18S and 28S rRNA. Functionally, it is thought that 5.8S rRNA may be involved in ribosome translocation. Lineage: Eukaryota; Fungi; Ascomycota; Sordariomycetes; Ophiostomatales; Ophiostomataceae. The record is from RNAcentral.
AAACUUUCAACAACGGAUCUCUUGGUUCUGGCAUCGAUGAAGAACGCAGCGAAACUGCGAUAAGUAAUGUGAAUUGCAGAAUUCAGCGAACCAUCGAAUCUUUGAACGCACAUUGCGCCCGCCAGCAUUCUGGCGGGCAUGCCUGUCCGAGCGUCAUUU